This 253-nucleotide ribosomal RNA is filed under the name uncultured bacterium. Its description in RNAcentral is "partial 16S ribosomal RNA". It matches the Rfam family "Bacterial small subunit ribosomal RNA", at positions 524 to 776 of the family's 1533-position model. The record is from RNAcentral.
UACGUAGGGGGCAAGCGUUGUCCGGAAUUAUUGGGCGUAAAGAGCGUGUAGGCGGCCAGAUAAGUCCGCUGUGAAAUCUCGAGGCUCAACUUCGAGCUGUCGGUGGAAACUAUCUGGCUAGAGUCCGGAAGAGGAGAAUGGAAUUCCUGGUGUAGCGGUGAAAUGCGCGGAUAUCAGGAAGAACACCCGUGGCGAAGGCGGUUCUCUGGGACGGUACUGACGCUGAGACGCGAAAGCGUGGGGAGCGAACAGG